Molecule: ribosomal RNA, 478 nt
Filed under: uncultured bacterium
Lineage: Bacteria
Description: partial 16S ribosomal RNA
Rfam family: Bacterial small subunit ribosomal RNA
Source: RNAcentral
GACGAACGCUGGCGGCGUGCUUAACACAUGCAAGUCGAACGGUAAGGCCCUUCGGGGUACACGAGUGGCGAACGGGUGAGUAACACGUGGGUGAUCUGCCCUGCACUUCGGGAUAAGCCUGGGAAACUGGGUCUAAUACCGGAUAGGACUCCGGACUGCAUGGUCAGGGGUGGAAAGCUUUUGCGGUGUGGGAUGGGCCCGCGGCCUAUCAGCUUGUUGGUGGGGUGAUGGCCUACCAAGGCGACGACGGGUAGCCGGCCUGGGAGGGUGACCGGCCACACUGGGACUGAGAUACGGCCCAGACUCCUACGGGAGGCAGCAGUGGGGAAUAUUGCACAAUGGGCGCAAGCCUGAUGCAGCGACGCCGCGUGAGGGAUGACGGCCUUCGGGUUGUAAACCUCUUUCAGCAUCGACGAAGCGAAAGUGACGGUAGGUGCAGAAGAAGGACCGGCCAACUACGUGCCAGCAGCCGCAGUAA